Molecule: long non-coding RNA, 937 nt
Filed under: Homo sapiens (human)
Lineage: Eukaryota; Metazoa; Chordata; Mammalia; Primates; Hominidae
Description: novel transcript
Source: RNAcentral
AGGUAUAGAAGACUCUCUAUGCUGCCCUCUUGAAUAAUGCCCCAAGAAUGCAUGCCUUUCCUGAUCAUUCUGUGAAAUAUUGCUGAGUAAAGGAACGAGUGAAUUGUAGAUGGAUAAAUAUCUAAACAAACUUUGGUCAUGCUGCAAGCCUAGUGGAAAGCCUGAUUCUUCUGGGUAUUGGUCAAGGAACACCCACCCCAGAAUGGAAGUCAUUUAGCAGGAAAGCAGUGGUCUGCUAUUCUCUGAGCACCAUUGACCACUUAUUGGAUUGUGGAAGAGACCUAACUCAAAUUUGGACCAAGAAGUGACUUGAAAUCAAGAUCUCUCCCCAGAAGAGACAACAAUGAAUAGUGCUGUUCACGAGGAGUUGCUGGCUCAGCAGGCCUCUUUGUCUCUGUGCUCAUGACAAGGACAUAUCACCUAACUCUGGGCUCUGGCUCACUUAGUAGCUUCUUUGCCGUUGGACUCUCACACCGAGAUGUCACCGAGCAGCAGCCUUUCCCAGGAAGUUGUUAAGGAGAUGGGAAUCCUCAUGCCUGCUGCUUUUUCCCAAAUCAGAGGAAGCCCGGGAGCCAGUUGCAGUAAAGUCUUGCCAGUAACGUUUCUCUUAAGAACGAGAAAGCUACUCAAAGAAAUGAUCUCUUCCUGGAUGUUGUGGUCCACGAAUAUUAUGUCUGGAACAUCAGAGCCAUCUUGUCUCCAUGAUGGGAGUUCCAUCUAAAGACAAAGUCAAAACCCAGCAGAGGACACAGCUGAAGGAACACGAGAAAGUGGCAUGGAAACGCUGAAGCCCCAGCACCGGCAGACCUCAGUUAUUGGGGCCAAUCAACCUCUUGUUACUGUUCAAGCGAGUUUGGAAACGUUGUCAGAGACCCACAACAGAAAACAACUCAAACAGCGUAUGUUUUAACUGUGAUUAAAAUCCUGUUUUAGGCCA